RNAcentral lists this transfer RNA (65 nucleotides) under Chamaeleo monachus (monarch chameleon). RNAcentral's name for it is "tRNA-Lys". The record is from RNAcentral. Lineage: Eukaryota; Metazoa; Chordata; Lepidosauria; Squamata; Chamaeleonidae.
CAUUAAGAAGCUUGCAUUAAGCAACAGCCCUUUAAUCUGCAGAAGGGGACUUUCCCCCUUAAUGA